GGACAUGACUUGAGGAGUUCACAGGCACUUUUAAAAGUUAUUGCCUGGCUAUUUCCACAUGGAAGCAGUACACGUAGACUGAAAUAUUUCCCAUCUGCAUCCAUGAGCAGGAUCCGAGUCUUCCGUCAGGUCCUAUUUAUGGUUACAGCUCUGGAAUGAUUGUGUGGGUGGCUAAUGUAAAGUUUUUACAUCAAUGUAGGCACGUGAUUGCUUUGUAAAAUGUAUUUAUAUUUAUUCAUUAGUGGUAAACAUCUGUAAGAUUUAAGCAUUACGCUAGAAAUGGCCUGCAGUCUCAGUACCACGCCUGUACAAUGGAACAUUAGCAAGCUGCCUCACAGUCUUGUUGUGAGGGUGAACAAGGUAUGCCAUCUGCUUGCUGUGCCUUGCCAAUGGAACGAAUAGAUUUAAUCACCAGCACAACAGCAAAAACUGCCCUUUAAUUCUCAGAGACUGCAAGUUUUAUGACGUACUUUCCUACCAAGUCAGGAUUUCCUCUUACCUUGGGGUGUAAUGAACCCCAGCAUUAGUAAGUUUUUCCAGCAAUAUUGCUGCUCAUCAAAAGGAUGUCUGUCACAUGCAAAUGGCUCUCUUGAGUAAAAGUGGCUGCAUAUGAAAUUCAGGAUUUUGAUUUCGCAAUUCAUUCCACCCCCAAACAGGUAGAGUGUCUGAGUUUAUUUGCUAGUACCUGCACUGAUGUAGAGACAACAGGAAGGUAGGCACCACCUACUGCAGCCAACAUCAGGGCCGCUCCACAGGAGGAUUUCCUGUGAGAGAUUAUAGAAAUUUGAAGCUUGGCAACUGUCCACUUCCUAUCUGACCAGACAGUCAAGCCCUAAACUGCUGGUGACACCACCCUCUGCUCUACUGAAAUUAAUCAUUUCUUGGUUUUUUAAAAAAUAAAAUAAAAGCAAAGCGUU
Long non-coding RNA from Hemicordylus capensis (graceful crag lizard), 917 nucleotides. RefSeq lists it as uncharacterized. The transcript is spliced from 2 exons. The record is from RefSeq and is a predicted model, not a curated record. Lineage: Eukaryota; Metazoa; Chordata; Lepidosauria; Squamata; Cordylidae.